UGGGGAAUAUUGCACAAUGGGGGAAACCCUGAUGCAGCGACGCCGCGUGAGCGAAGAAGGCCUUCGGGUCGUAAAGCUCUUUUAUAUGGGAAGAUAAUGACGGUACCAUAAGAAAAAGCCCCGGCUAACUACGUGCCAGCAGUCGCGGUAAUACGUAGGGGGCUAGCGUUGUCCGGAAUCACUGGGCGUAAAGGGUUCGCAGGCGGAAAUGCAAGUCAGAUGUAAAAGGCAAAGGCUCAACCUUUGUAAGCAUCUGAAACUGUAUAGCUUGAGAAGUGUAGAGGCAAGUGGAAUUUUUAGUGUAGAGGUGAAAUGCGUAGAUAUUAAAAAGAAUACCGGUGGCGAAGGCGACUUGCUGGGCACAAUCUGACGCUGAGGAACGAAAGCGUGGGGAGCAAACAGG
RNAcentral lists this ribosomal RNA (403 nucleotides) under Verrucomicrobiota bacterium. RNAcentral's name for it is "Verrucomicrobia bacterium partial 16S ribosomal RNA". It matches the Rfam family "Bacterial small subunit ribosomal RNA", at positions 355 to 776 of the family's 1533-position model. The record is from RNAcentral. Lineage: Bacteria; Pseudomonadati; Verrucomicrobiota.